Oryzias melastigma (Indian medaka) is the source of this 2521-nucleotide long non-coding RNA. RefSeq lists it as uncharacterized. The record is from RefSeq and is a predicted model, not a curated record. The transcript is spliced from 2 exons. NCBI's taxonomy places the organism in Eukaryota, Metazoa, Chordata, Actinopteri, Beloniformes, Adrianichthyidae.
GGCCUGUCCAAAGUCGAAGGAACGCGUUUUUACGCAUCAAUUAAAAUAUUUCCAAAUUAAUAUUUUCCAUCGAUGAUUUUAUGAUUAUCAGGAGAUUUUCAAUUAAGUGUGGUGUUGUUUUAAUCUAUAUUAUUAUCUAUCUAGUAUUGUUGUUGUGAUGUGGGGGGAGGGGUGCGGCAGCCUCCUUUGAAAUCUACAGAAAGUGACGUCCACGUCGCCUUAAAUCUCGCUGUGCACUUGCUCUCGCCGUGGAGGUCGGUCCUGCGCCGCCGCGCUGACUCUCGUGAUCUCCCGUCAAAAAUGCUGAACUCACGGCUCCGCUCUCUUCUCUCUCCGGUCAGGUGCCCAAAAGGACUCAGAAAUCCCCGACAUGUUGGUCACACAUCCACGACACAGACGGAGGAGCACUUCGGUCAUAUUAUUCAUAAUAAUAAAUCCAUCCAUGCUUUCCAGGAAGUUCACAUCCAUCGCUGCACUACAACUUUUUCAAACUCCCUCUGUCCAAAUGAUGGAAUGCGCCUCUGCAGCUCCUGGUCAUUUCUUUCAAACUCCCCCACUUCUUUGCCCCCUUUUCUCCCCCCUAAACUCUUUUUUUUUCUAGCAGAGGGGCCCGGUAGCUGGCGCUUGAUUAAUAAAUGUUUAUGUGUUUUGAAGUGCGGGACAAAAGGGGUUGACCUGUGACCUCCAGGAGCCUCGACCUUGUGCGGGUUCAUUGUGAGGUGCUGGGAAAGGGUUUUUUUUUUUUUUUUUUUUUUUUGGAUGGAGACCCCGGGCUACUGACCCACACACAUCCCGGAGCCCUAUAGCCAUUCAUGUGCGCACUGCUGCACGCCGCCCCGCAGCUCCCAUUGUUUCAGCGGGAACAAUAGUUUUAACCCCCCCUACUCUCUCUCUCUUUCUCUCUCUCUCAAAAGAAGCUCCCCAAACUUCCCUCUGGAUGAAGCCUGACGCAAACCCGGGAAAAAUUUCUCACCAACCCUCCAAAUAAGACAAAAAAUGUUGACAAAACGUUGGCGCUGCUAGUAGUGCGCUCGGGUUGCAUCACACAAGCGUUGCAUCAUUGGAUUGACUGGAUUUUUUUUUUUUUUCUUGGAGCCGCCAAAGGCCAAGACUGUAACAGAGUGAAACAAUAAAGAAGAAACGGGGAGAAACUGUGAAACAUGGAGUGGGUGUUCAGGUCUGGAGACGACAGAAGGAGAGAGCUCGAAGAAAAAGAGCGCAGAUAACACCUGCGGGCUAUUUCUACCGCUGCAAUGAGAUAUAUAUUAAUAGGCUGUAGGUAUAAGCAGGCAUUAGCAGGCUCGUGCGUUCCGCCUUGGCUACGGGGUUAGUGAGGUUACGCAGAUGACAUCAUCCAUAGGCCCUGGUCUCGAUUGGAUCCUUGCCUGGAAGUCAAUCACUGCAGGAAGUGAAGGAGCAAUGCAGGACUGCACUGGCUGCAAUCAAUGAUCGCCUCGGUGUGCAUAAGACUAAUGAAAUCCAAAAAAGGAGGCAUGCGUGGCUGCAUGCAUGCAAACGCCAAAAAUAUAUGCAAAAGUUGAGAUGCACGUGAUUCAAUCAGAUUUAUAGGGAAUUAAAUAUCUAAUAGAAGCCGCAUAUUGGUGAUAAAUUGUGUGCGCAAACAGAAUAAAUACACUGUCCUCCAGAGCGCGCAUUCGGAUGUAUAAACUUGUGCAUGCGCGUGCACGUGGAGAGAGCGAGGGAGGCUGAGAAAGAGAGUGAUUUUACUCAUUGUAAUGUGCAGAACGACCUGCCCUCUUUUGGAAAAAAAAGAAGAAGAAGAAGAAGCGAGAAAGCACAGCCAUGCUUUGCAGAGGCAGCCGCGUCGCUCUCAUUAUCAGGCUCUCGCCAAAAACGGAGUCCAACCGAAUGAAACCGGGAAUACAAGCGUGUGCCUCCACCUCCACCUCCACCACCACCACCCAACGAUCUGCAGCUAAGUUAAGCGUUUUCAUCUGAGGGGGAUACAUACACUGGGAUCCACCAUAUGGCGUGGAGCACAUCAUGGUGCAUGAGUGGAGGACUUCUUUGGGCAAACCAGGAUGGAAACAGAUCAGUGGAGUCAUUUUUACGCGCAAAAAGCAACGUGGAGCAUAAAACCAGCAUCGCAUAAUGCUGACAGUGUCUCUGUUUAAUCAGUAAUCUUUAUCCUCAGUUGAAUGCGUCCUAAAAUAAGGUAGGAAUGAAUUAGAGGGCCGAAUGGAUCCAAGAUUUUUCUUUUUUUCUUUUUUGGCCAAACUGGAUUCUGAACGUGAAGGUUUGAAGAACGCAGAAGACGGAUACACACCGACAUCCGCACGCACGCAAAAAAACGCACAGAAGAGCGGGUUGUGUCUCUCCGUGUUCACAGCGGACCUUGAUUUAAUGUCUUACAAUUAAGGCACGCGGUGAAUGCCAAGAGAUGAUCCUCCAAUCCUCGAUCCAAAAAAGAGUUAAUUAAAAAAAUAAAGUUUGUCAUGUUUUAAAUGUAUGUGCAUAAACUGUAUUUCUAAACAAUAAAGAGAUUUCACUGAUGUAUAAA